ACUAUAAAGUUGCUCUGGAGACAGCUGAGAAGUGCAGCCAGUCCAACAACCAGUUCCAGAAGAUCUCAGAGGAACUCAAAGUGAAAGGUCCCAAGGACUCCAAGGACAGCCACACGUCCGUCACCAUGGAAGCUCUGCUCUACAAGCCCAUUGACCGGGUCACUCGGAGCACCCUAGUCCUACACGACCUGCUGAAGCACACACCUGUGGACCACCCCGACUACCCGCUGCUGCAGGAUGCCCUCCGCAUCUCCCAGAACUUCCUGUCCAGCAUCAACGAGGACAUCGACCCCCGCCGGACUGCAGUCACAACGCCCAAGGGGGAGACGCGACAGCUGGUGAAGGACGGCUUCCUGGUGGAAGUGUCGGAGAGCUCCCGGAAGCUGCGGCAUGUCUUCCUCUUUACCGAUGUCCUACUGUGUGCCAAGCUGAAGAAGACCUCUGCAGGGAAGCACCAGCAGUAUGACUGUAAGUGGUACAUCCCCCUGGCCGACCUGGUGUUUCCAUCCCCCGAGGAGUCUGAGGAUCCUGUGCUACGAGAAGUGCUAUGACAAGACCAAAGUCAACAAGGACA
RNAcentral lists this small RNA (574 nucleotides) under Pongo abelii (Sumatran orangutan). RNAcentral's name for it is "processed transcript". Lineage: Eukaryota; Metazoa; Chordata; Mammalia; Primates; Hominidae. The record is from RNAcentral.